CCGAAGUCCGUGUCUUCAGGAAGUCGGAUGACUUCUCGCAUUCCACACGGGUGAUUCCUUCGUCCCCAACCCUAAGGUUUCGGCAACCUGUCGUUCCCGUGUCUCCGCCGCCACUUCGGACGGUCUAGCUCCACCAUCGUCCGCCCAUCGCCACGGUAAGACUUUCUCCCCCUGUGCCAGUUGAUUUUUUCUCGUCGUGCCCUCUGUUUGGUCGCCAUCUGACAUCCGCCUUCUCCAUCGGAUGCUCUUUCUGCUAGACCUUCGCGUUGUUACCAAGGUCAAUCGCCGCCAUUUUGCCGGCAUGACACAUUUCGUCUCCUCCAUUACGUCGUCUUGUUCGUCCUUGCUUUUGCUCUAACUGCUCGUUCGUUGGCCUUGCAGGUGAAUCCAAGGUUGCAUUUUCGCGAUACGCUUCGAAUCCGUUCGUUGAUCCCGAUAGUUCACGUUGCUAGUGGCCAGUAUGUCGUUUCCAUCCUUCAAUCCUCAUUUCUCGAUUGGAUAUGAUUCAAAUCGAACCGUAUUUUGUUUAUUUGGCCCCUCACUGCUCCCUUUGAUUCGUUUCUAAGAGAACUUAGAGCGGAGUGAAUAGGUGAUCCUGUAAAAAUUUAAAACUUGUAGCCACAAAACUUGGUUAAGUGUUAGCACAAUGAAAUCAAGUGGCUAAGGACCGAGCUCUUGUGAAACACAAUGGUCACAAGGAAAACAAGCACAAGAGACACGGUGAUUUAUCCCGUGGUUCGGCCAAGUAUAACACUUGCCUACUCCACGUUGUGGCGUCCCAAUGGACGAGGGUUGCACUCAACCCCUCUCAAGUGAUCCAAUGACCGACUUGAAUACCGGUGUUUUCUUUCUUAUACUCUUUCCCGUUUGCGAGGAAUCUCCACAACUUGGAGCCUCUCGCCCUUACAAUUGAUGAUCAAAAAGAAGCACGGAAGUAAGGUUGGGAAGAGCAACACACACAAGACUCAAAGCACGAGCACAAUCACGCACACAAGCCACAACUUGAGCUCACAACACAACUCAAGGAGUUCUCUACUCAAAUGGAGCUCAAGUCACUAUCUCAAAGAAUCGAAUGCGCGAGAAUGGAGUCUUGGUGCUUAGGAAUGAUCAAGGAAUGCUUGAGUGACUCCUCCCUAUGCCUAGGGGUCCCUUUUAUAGCCCCAAGGCAGCUAGGAGCCGUUGGAACCCAACAAGGAAGGCAAUUCUUGCCUUCUGUCGGGUGGCGCACCGGACAGUCCAGUGCACCACCGGACAACCACUGUAGCAUGUUCGGUGCGGAUCUCCUUCCAUUCCUGGCGCAGCCGACCGUUGGAUCUUUGGGCUAGUUGGCGCACCGGACACUGUCCGGUGCACACUGGACAGUCCAAUGCCCCCAGCCGACCGUUGGCUGGGGCCACGCGUCGCGCGCGGAUUGCGCGGCCGACCGUUGCGCUGGCGGCCGUUGGCUCACCGGACAGUCCGGUGCACCACCGGACAGUCCGGUGAAUUAUAGCCGUAAGCCGCCGACGAAUUACCAAGAGUGGCCAGUUCGCCAGAGCCCAGCCUGACGCACCGGACAUUGUCUGGUGCACCCAGACUGAGCAGCAUUUGGCUGUACACAGCCAACUCUUUUCCAAUCCUUUUCUUUUCCUGAUUCUAGCACUUAGACAAAUAUAUUAGUACACAAAAACCAAUGUACUAAGUCUAGAACCAUACCUUCUUGUCGAUUUGCACUUCAUCCAUCAUUUGGUAUAUAAUUACUCACUCAAUAUGUGUUGGGCACUUAAUCACCAAAAUAUACUAGAAAUGGCCCAAGGGCACAUUUCCCUUUCAAUCUCCCCCUUUUUGGUGAUUUAUGCCAACACAUCAAAAAGCAACAAAUAGAGGUGCAACGUCAAUGCAAUUGAGAAUAAAAAUAGUCUUUGACAAGAUUUGACAUAUUUGGAUCGUUCUUCGCCACCACUUGGUUUGUUUUUGCAAAUCAAAUUCAUUUUCCUAUCUCUAAGUUAAACACACAUGUUUAGACACAAGGAGAGAUAAUCCAAGAGUAAAAAUGAUUAAUAGCCAAAAACUCCCCCUUUUUCCCAUAAUCAAACAUUCUCCCCACAAGAGACCAAAUUUUGAUAGUAAGAGUUAUUUUGACAAAUCAAAAGUUCUACUCUACUCUUUUUCAAAAAUUUUACAAGUGGUAGCUGAUCCAUUUGCUUUGGCCUUAUUUUCUCCCCCUUUGGCAUUAAGCACCAAAACGGGAUCAAUCUUGGCCCUUAAACCCCAUUGCCUCACCAAAAUCGUCAAUUACGAGUAAAAAGGCAAUAAGAGCAUGGAGAUGAACUUGGAGUAAAUUACCCUCUCAUCGGAGUGCAGUGGAAGUCUUGCAUGGUCCAAGUUCACCUUUCCCUUUCAAUCCACUUUUGAGACUCAAACAAGUAAACUCAAACACAAGGUUAGUCUCAAAGUGUCAAGUUGUAGCAUGCCUCCCCCUAAAUAAGUGCAUCACUUGCAAAUGGACUUGUGAGGUCCGGGGAUCAUGUGUACAACUUGAGCACCACAAAUGAACAAAAUAGAUUGAAAUGCAUAAAUUACAUGAUCAAAGGCAUAAAACACAUGUAUGUUAUAGAUCAAUCCAAGUUACGCGAAUCUAAGACAUUUAGUUCACUACGUAGCCUGCAAAAGGUCUUUUCAUCUAAAGGCUUGGUAAAGAUAUCGGCUAGCUGGUUCUCGGUGCUAACAUAAAACACUUCGAUAUCUCUCUUUUGCUGGUGGUCUCUCAAAAAGUGAUGCCGAAUGUCUAUGUGCUUAGUGCGGCUGUGUUCAACAGGAUUAUCCGCCAUGCGGAUUGCACUCUCAUUAUCACAUAGGAGUGGGACUUUGCUUAGAUUGUAGCCAAAGUCUCGGAGGGUUUGCCUCAUCCAAAGUAGUUGCGUGCAACAUUGUCCUGCGGCAACAUACUCGGCCUCAACGGUGGAUAGGGCAACGGAAGUUUGUUUCUUUGAACUCCAAGACACUAGGGACCUUCCUAGGAAUUGGCAUGUCCCUGAUGUACUCUUCCUAUCAACCUUGCACCCGGCAUAAUCGGAGUCUGAAUAUCCAAUCAAGUCAAAGGUAGACCCCUUUGGAUACCAGAUCCCGAAGCAAGGCGUAGCAACUAAAUAUCUAAGAAUCCGCUUAACGGCCACAAGGUGACAUUCCCUUGGGUCAGAUUGAUAUCUAGCACACAUGCAAACGCUGAGCAUAAUAUCCGGUCUACUAGCACAUAAGUAAAGCAAGGAACCUAUCAUAGACCGGUAUGCCUUUUGAUCAACGGACUUACCUCUUUUGUUGAGGUCGACAUGUCCGUCGGUUCCCAUUGGAGUCUUUGCGAGCUUUGUGUCCUUCAUCCCAAACCGCUUGAGCAAGUCUUGCGUGUACUUCGUUUGGGAGAUGAAGGUGUCGUCCUUGAGUUGCUUCACUUGGAACCCAAGGAAGUAGUUUAACUCGCCCAUCAUCGACAUCUCAAAUUUCUGAGUCAUCACCCUGCUAAACUCUUCACAAGACUUUUGGUUAGUAGAACCAAAUAUUAUGUCAUUGACAUAAAUUUGGCACACAAAUAAGUCACCAUCACAAGUCUUAGUGAAUAGAGUUGGAUCGGCUUUCCCAACCUUGAAAGCAUUAGCAAUUAGAAAAUCUCUAAGGCAUUCAUACCAUGCUCUUGGGGCUUGCUUAAGUCCAUAGAGCGCCUUAGAGAGCUUACACACAUGAUCGGGGUACCGUUCAUCCUCAAAGCUAGGGGGUUGCUAUACGUACACCUCCUCCUUGAUUGCCCAUUGAGGAAAGCGCUCUUCACAUCCAUUUGGAACAACCUGAAGGAAUGGUGAGCGACAUAGGCUAACAAAAUGCGAAUAGACUCUAGCCUAGCCACAGGAGCAAAAGUCUCCUCAAAGUCCAAACCUGCGACUUGGGCAUAACCUUGUGCCACAAGUUGAGCCUUGUUCCUUGUCACCACCCCGUGCUCAUCCUGUUUGUUGCGGAACACCCACUUGGUUCCCACAAUGUUUUGCUUGGGACGUGGCACCAGGGUCCAAACUUUAUUUCGCUUGAAGUUGUUGAGCUCUUCCUGCAUGGCCAACACCCAAUCCGGAUCUAGCAAGGCCUCUUCUACCCUGAAAGGCUCAAUAGAAGAGACAAACGAGUAAUGCUCACAAAAAUUAGCUAAUCUAGAGCGAGUAGUUAUUCCCUUGCUUAUAUCACCCAAAAUCUAGUCGACAGGAUGAUUCUUUUGAAUCAUCGCUCGGACUUGAGUUGGAGGGGCCAGUGGUGCUUCUUCCUCCACAACUUGUUCUUCUUGUGCUCCCCCUUGAUCACACGCCUCCUCUUGAGGAGCAUGUUCUUCAUCUUGAGUCGGGGGAUGCACCAUCGUUGAGGAAGAAGGUUGAUCUUGCUCUUGGUGUUCCUGUGGUCGCACAUCUCCAAUAGCCAUGGUGUGAAUUGCGUCCGUUGGAACAUCAUCUUCAUCUACAUCAUCAAGAUCAACUUGCUCUCUUGGAGAGCCAUUAGUUUUAUCAAAUACAACGUCGCUAGAGACUUCAACCAAACCCGAUGAUUUGUUGAAGACUCUAUACACUUUUGUAUUUGAGUCAUAACCUAAUAAAAACCCUUCUACAGCUUUGGGAGCAAAUUUGGAAUUCCUACCUUUCUUCACUAGAAUGUUACAUUUACUCCCAAAUACACGAAAAUAUGAAACGUUGGGUUUGUUACCGGUUAGAAGUUCGUAUGACGUCUUCUUGAGGAGGCGAUGAAGGUAGACCCGGUUUAUGGCGUGGCAAGCUGUGUUCACAGCUUCCGACCAAAACCGCUCGGGUGUCUUGAAUUCUCUAAGCAUCGUCCUCGCCAUGAAUAUAAGCGUCCUGUUCUUCCUCUCUACCACACCAUUUUGCUAUGGUGUGUAGGGAGCAGAUAACUCGUGCUUGAUUCCUUCCUCCUCAAGAAACUCUUCCACUUGAAGAUUCUUGAACUCGGACCCGUUGUCGCUUCUUAUAUUUUUCACCUUGAGCUCAAAUUCGUUUUGAGCUCUCCUUAGGAAGCGCUUUAGGGUCCCUUGGGUUUCUGAUUUAUCCUGCAAAAAAGAAUACCCAAGUGAAGCGGGAAAAAUCAUCAACAAUAAUAAGACCAUACUUACUUCCCCCGAUGCUGAGGUAGGCGACGGGUCCGAAGAGGUCCAUGUGAAGUAGCUCCAGAGGUCUUGAUGUGGUCAUCACAUUCUUGCUGUGGUGAGUACUUCCCACUUGUUUACCUGCUUGACAAGCUGCACAAGGUCUAUCUUUUUCGAAAGUUACAUUGGUUAGACCUAACACAUGUUCUCCCUUUAGAAGUUUAUGAAGGUUCUUCAUCCCAACAUGUGCUAGACGGUGAUGCCACAGCCAGCCCAUGCUAGUCUUAGCGAUUAAGCAUGCAUCUAGAUUGGCCUCCUCUUUCGAAAAAUCAACUAAAUAGAGUUUGCCGUCUAGUACACCCUUAAAAGCUAAUGAACCAUCACUCCUUCUAAAGACAGACACAUCUACAUUGGUAAAUAAGCAAUUGUAACCCAUAUUACAUAGUUGACUAACGGACAACAAGUUAUACCCGAGUGAUUCAACUAAGAACACAUUAGAUAUGGAAUGCGCGGAUGAAAUAGCUAUCUUUCCUACUCCUUUAACCUUGCCUUGAUUCCCGUCUCCAAAGAUGAUCGAAUCUUGGGAAUCUUUGUUCUUGACAUAGGAGGUGAACAUCUUCUUCUCCCUCGUCAUGUGGUUUGUGCAUCCGCUGUCGAUAAUCUAGCUUGAGCCCCCGGAUGCAUAAACCUGCAAGGCAAAUUAGGCUUGGGUUUUAGGUACCCAACUCUUGUUGGGUCCUACAAGGUUAGUAACAAUAGCCUUAGGGACCCAAAUGCAAGUCUUGUCUCCCUUGCAUUUGGCCCCCAUCUUUUGAGCAACCACUUUUUCAUUUUUACGUGAAAGAACAAAUGUAGUGUUGCAAGCAUGAAAAAUAGUGGUAGGUUUAUUACAGACUUUUCGAGGAGCAUGAGACACAAAAUUUCUCCUAGACCUACCAUUAACAUUGGAACUUGAAGCAAUCAUGGCAUGUGAGUCAAAAACAUUAUAACUCCUAUUAUAAUGAAAAUUUCUAGAAUAUUUUUUAUCAUGGUACAUGAAAGCAUGAUUCUUUUGACUACUACUAGCCAUUGGGGCCUUCCCUUUCUCCUUGUUGGAAAUGGGAGCCCUUUGACUUGUUAAGUUCUUGGCUUCCCUUCAAAAGCCAAGCCCAUCCUUAAUUGAGGGAUGUCUACCAACGGUGUAGGCAUCCCUAGCAAAUUUUAAUUUAUCAAAGUCAUUUUUGCAAGUCUUAAGUUGGGCAUUAAGACUUGCUAUUUCAUCAUUAAGUUUUGUAAUAGAAGUAAGGUGCUCAACACAUGCAUCAACGUUGAAGUCCUUACACCUAUUACAAAUCACAACGUGCUCUACACAAGAACUAGAUUUAUUUACUACUUCUAGCUUAGCAUUUAAAUCAUCAUUAAUACUUUUUAAGUUAGACACAGUUUCAUGAUAAGUAGAUAAUUCACAAGAAAGCAUUUCAUUUCUUUUAACCUCUAAAGCAAGAGACUUUUGCACACUUACAAAUUUAUCAUGCUCUUCAUAUAAGGAUCCUCUUGCUUUUCUAAAAGUCUAUUCUUUUCAUUUAGAGCAUCAAUCAUUUCAUUGAAUUUUUCUACCUUGGCUCUAUCUAAACCUUUAAAUAAGCUAGAAUAGUCUACUUCAUCAUCACUAGAAUCUUCAUCGCUAGAAGUAGUAUAUUUAGGAGUUUCUCGAGCGCUUACCUUCUUCUCCUUUGCCAUUAGGCAAGUAUGGCGCUCGUUGGGGAAGAGAGACGACUUGUUGAAGGCCGAGGCGGCGAGUCCUUCGUCGUCGGAGUCAGACGAAGAGCAAUCUGAAUCCCACUCUUUGCCUAGGUGUGCCUCGCCCUUCGCCUUCUUGGAGGCCUUCUUCUUCUCCCUCUUCCCACCUUUUUCUUGUUCCUGGUCAUUAGCAUUAUCGGGACAAUUUGCUAUAAAAUGACCAGUCUUACCACAUUUAAAACAGGAACGCUUUCCCUUUGGUUUGCUCUUAUUGGGAUGCUCCUUUCGUCCUUUUAGCGCCGUCUUGAAGCGCUUGAUGAUGAGAUCCAUUUCAUCCUCGUUUAGCCCGACCGCCUUAACUUGCGCCACCUUGCUAGGUAGCGCCUCCCUGCUACUUGUUGCUUUGAGAGCAACGGUUUGAGGCUCGUAGAUGGGCAUUGGGCCAUUCAAUGGCUCAUCAACGUAUCUUGCUUCCUUGAUCAUCAUACGCCCGCUUACAAACUUUCCGAGUAUUUCCUCGGGCGUCAUCUUGGUAUACCUAGGAUUCUCAUGGGUUGAGUUCACAAGAUGAGGAUCAAGUACAGUGAAGGACCUGAGCAUUAGUCGGACGACGUCGUGGUCCGUCCAUCUCGUGCUUCCAUAGCUCCUGAUCUUGUUGACCAGGGUCUUGAGCCUGUUGUACGUUUGGGUUGGCUCCUCCCCCCUGAUCAUCGCGAACCUUCCUAGUUCGCCUUCCACCAACUCCAUCUUGGUGAUCAUGGUGGCGUCAUUCCCCUCAUGAGAAAUCUUGAGGGUGUCCCAAAUUUGCUUGGCGUUAUCCAAGCCGCUCACCUUGUGGUACUCGUCCCUGCACAAGGAUGCUAGCAAAACAGUGGUAGCUUGUGCAUUUUUAUGGAUUUGCUCAUUAAUGAAAACAGGGUUGUCAGUACUAUCAAAAAGCAUUCCGUUUUCAACGAUCUCCCAAAUACUUGGAUGGAGAGAGAAUAGGUGACUACGCAUUUUGUGACUCCAAAAUGAGUAGUCUUCUCCAUCAAAGUGCGGAGGUUUCCCAAGUGGAAUUGAAAGUAAAUGAGCAUUGGAGUUAAACGGAAUACGAGAAUAAUCAAAAGAAAAGUUUGAGUUAACCGGUUUCUUUUUCUCGUCGUAGUCGUUGUCUCUUGGGGAAGAAGAAGACUCGUCACUGUCGUAGUAGACGAUCUUCUUGAUGCGUCUCUUCUUCUUCCCAUCUCUUUUCUUAUGACUCGAGCUAGAGUCCGAGGGCUUAUCAUCUUUUGGCUCGUUGACGAUUACUCCUUUGUCUUGUCAUUGACCACCAUCCCCUUUCCCUUAGGAUUCAUCUCUUCAGGCGAUUAGUCCCUUUCGUGAAGAGAAUGGCUCCGAUACCAAUUGAGAGAACCUAGAGGGGGCUGAAUAGGUGAUCCUGUAAAAAUUUAAAACUUAUAGCCACAAAACUUGGUUAAGUGUUAGCACAAUGAAAUCAAGUGGCUAAGGACCGAGCUCUUGUGAAACACAAUGGUCACAAGGAAAACAAGCACAAGAGACACGGUGAUUUAUCCCGUGGUUCGGCCAAGUAUAACACUUGCCUACUCCACGUUGUGGCGUCCCAAUGGACGAGGGUUGCACUCAACCCCUCUCAAGUGAUCCAAUGAUCGACUUGAAUACCACGGUGUUUUCUUUCUUAUACUCUUUCCCGUUUGCGAGGAAUCUCCACAACUUGGAGCCUCUCGCCCUUACAAUUGAUGAUCACAAAGAAGCACGAAAGUAAGGUUGGGAAGAGCAACACACACAAGACUCAAAGCACGAGCACAAUCACGCACACAAGCCACAACUUGAGCUUACAACACAACUCAAGGAGUUCUCUACUCAAAUGGAGCUCAAGUCACUAUCUCAAAGAAUCGAAUGCACGAGAAUGAAGUCUUGGUGCUUAGGAAUGAUCAAGGAAUGCUUGAGUGACUCCUCCCUGCGCCUAGGGGUCCCUUUUAUAGCCCCAAGGCAGCUAGGAGCCGUUGGAACCCAAAAAGGAAGGCAAUUCUUGCCUUCUAUCGGGUGGCGCACCGGACAGCCACUGUAGCAUGUCCGGUGCGGAUCUCCUUCCAUUCCUAGCGCAGCCGACCGUUGGAUCUUUGGACUGGUUGGCGCACCGGACAUUGUCCGGUGCACACCGGACAGUCCGGUGCCCCCAACCGACCGUUGGCUGGGGCCACGCGUCGCGCGUGGAUUGCGCGGCCGACCGUUGCGCUGGCGGCCGUUGGCUCACCGGAUAGUCCGGUGAAUUAUAGCCGUAAGCCGCCGACGAAUUCCCGAGAGUGGCCAGUUCGCCAGAGCCCAGCCUGGCGCACCAGACACUGUCCGGUGCACCACCGGACAGUCCAAUGCACCCAGACUGAGCAGCAGUUGGCUGUACACAGCCAACUCUUUUCCAAUCCUUUUCUUUUCCUGAUUCUAUCACUUAGACAAAUAUAUUAGUACACAAAAACAAAUGUACUAAGUCUAGAACCAUACCUUCUUGUCGUUUGCACUUCAUCCAUCAUUUGGUAUAUAAUUACUCACUCAAUAUGUGUUGGGCACUUAAUCACCAAAAUAUACUAGAAAUGGCCCAAGGGCACAUUUCCCUUUCAGUUUCUGACAACAGAUUUUGAGCUAGUCCGUAGAUCUAGUUGUUGUGUUCAUCACCGGCAUCACAUUCAACUGAGGUAAAUUUCGACACCCUUGUUUUCUUUGUGAGAUGUUUGUGUACAUGUUUGCCAGUGCUUGGUUAGUUGUUGUGCUCAUUAGUUUAAUGUGAUUGUACAUAUUGUCGUACUUAUUAAGUAAUUCCGAUGAACUAUAGCAUGUGUGCAACAUUGAUAUCAAAUUGUUGUUAGUGGUUUCGUAUUUAGUGACCGUAGCCACAUCUCUGUUGUUGCUGGUUUCUCAUAUUGUCAUGCAUGUUUUCGACCUGUACGACAAAUCUGAUUUUUGUUCAGUGUUUUAGGUUUCCUGUACUAUUGGCUCAUGUCUUAACUCAAAUCUUAUUUUCGGUUAGAUGUCUUAAUUUAAAUAUGAUUUUCGGUUAGAUGGACAAAUCUGGAAAAGUGGUAGCAAAGUGGGACAUAAGGUGUCACACCCGGUUUUGGAAGGUAACCGAAUGCGAACCAUGUACGUGCCAGAAUCAGAAAUUCACAUACACAAUGAUUACAUAAAUGACUCAUCAUAGCACAGUGCUUCGAAUAACAAUAAAGAGUAAGUAAUAGUAUUAAAGACUAGAGUCAUUUACAUAAUAUAAAUCAAAGUGCACAUAAUAGAAACGUAGCCAACGUAAAUAAACCCACCACAUGCAGUAGACUGGGGGGAGGUCGCUAGCCUAAUCCUCAAAUUCGUCAAAGUCCUGGAACUUCCGGAGAUCCGCCUCGACACUUUCUUCUCCUUCUUUACCUGAGCAUAGAUUGCACCAAAGGCAAUGUAACACCCUGAAUUUGGGGGUAUAAAAUUUCUUUGCUCAUAUUCACAAAUUCAGGUGUUACUUCUCUUUUCACACCUUUCCCCAAUCUCCUCUUUCUCUUUUCUAUAGAAGAAGAGUGGUUAUUUUUAUUUGUAAUUAUAAAUUAGUGGGCUAAACUCCAAGGGGUAUGAAAUGUUGCAUCAUGUCAAACCCUAAAUUCUACUUUUGUUUGGUGCAUAAUUCUUAGAAAUGCUAAUUUGAAUUUGUGGCUUGUUUGGAUUUGAAUCAAAUAGAGUAAAUAAAAAGAAAAGGGGAAACAAAUGCCAGAAUAAAAGAAAAAGGAAAGAAGCCCGCUCCCCCCGCCCCCUCGGCCUUUCGGCCCAUCUGGCCCAUCCCGCGCGCGCCUUCCCCCCCUCUUCUCUCUCUGCCCUGGCGGGCCCGCCCGUCAGCGCGACCGCCUUCCCCGCGCCCGCUUUCCUCUCUCUCUCUGCUCGCGGGCCCGGCCUGUCAGCUUCCUCGUCCCCGCGUAACCGCCGCCCGGUCCGCGUGUGCCGCGGACUCCGCGCCCACGUCGCGCGUGGAGCUCGCAACCACCUCGCCUCGGCCACUUGAGCCCAGAGCCUCGCUCGCCCUCUCCCCCUCCCUCAGUUGCGCACCUGCAGACCCCUCUCCCACCUCCCCCACGCUGCGCACACGCCAGAGCGCCGCCGCCAUUAAACCGCCGCCGCCCGAGCUCGUUUCUCCGUCGCCGUUGGAGCCCCGCCGUGCCCUCUGCCACGGUGAGCUCCGCCUCGACGUCCGCAACCCGGGACACGCCCCAAUUUCCCCUCUCCCUCCCCGAAUCCCUCUGCCCGCGCUCACCGCCGUUCUCUGCGCAGUCGCCGAGGUCCGCCACCGUCGACUCGGGCUGCCGCCGCGUCUCCGUCGCCAUCGAGGGGUCCCCGGAGUUCGCCUUGAGGUAAGGAACCUCUCCCGCCCCCUCCCGACCUUUUUAUUGCCCCCCCGUCGCGUUUAAUUGCUCGCCGGAGUUCUUUAGCGCCACCGCCGAGCCGCUUUGCCGCGGGCCGCCCCCCUCCGGUGUCCCUGCCCCGACCCAGUCCCCACCGGAAGGUUCCCCGCGCCCUCCCCAACCUCCCCGGCCGCCCAGGUCGCCCCAAGGACCCGCAGAGCCCCCGCGCCCCUCGUCUCCGGCGAGUUCUCCGCCGCGGGGACGGGCGCCGCCGCCUCUGUUAGCCGUAGGAGAAGGAAGCCGGCCACCCAAUCCCCGCCGUCCAUUCCAGAUCGAAUGGCCCUGUUUCAAUUAGGCCGGGCCCAACCCUAGCCGUUCGCCUGAGAUCCAACGGCCCAGAGCCGUUUCCCCCGCCCCCCGCCUCCCUGCCAUUUGGGCCCCGCUUGUCAGCCGUCCGCCUGCGCGCUGCCCGCCUGGCCCCGCCUGUCAGCCGUCCGCCCCGCGCUGCCCGCCCGGCCCCGCCUGUCAGCCGCUCAGACCGCCGCGCGCUCGCGCGCUCGCCCGCGGAUCUAAUCUCGGGCGUUGAUCCGAGAUCCAACGGCUAUAAGAGCCCGAUACCCCUUCGCCCGCGCUUUUUCUUAAAGAGACCCCCGCCUUUCCGCAAAUUAACCCGCCGUCCCUGGAUUUUCACAGUUAGGUCCUCAGACCUUUUAUUUAAUUCAAAAUAAGUAUUUAAGACAUAUUUUUAAUCCCUAAUCUUGUAAAAUGCAUAACUUUGUCAUAUGAACUCCAAAUUAGGUGCUUCAAAUUGCAAAAUGCUCACAAUAUUCCUAUCUAUCUAUUUAAAUAAUGUUUCCCUGCUGUUUUUAUGUCCCAAUUAAUAGUUGGUCAUUAGGGUAAAACUAAGGUUAUUGGAACCCCUAUUUGAGAUAAAUAAAGAUAGAAGACUUUAAUAAAAGUUGGAGCACCUAGGUUUAUGGACUUAACACCAUGUAAUGAUUUAACCCCACCACUGACUUAGACCUGAUUAGUGGAUAAUGAAUCAUUUUAUAUAGUCAUCUAUCCUAGACCUAGGGAACACUAGAUUGCCAAUCCUUUUCUACUGUAAACUUGUGAUCUCUUUGCUGCAUAUGCUUGGUUUCUGUUUUUUUGUUUGUUAUUUCCCAAGUACAUAGUGUGAAUGAUUACUUUACGUAGACAACGAGCAGUCUGUGUUUCUCGAGGAAGUGGCAGAAGAAGUCCCUGAUCAGCAGUUUGGUGAAGGCAAGUGUCCUCUGACCCAUUAUGUCCUAUUUAAUUAUAAUUCACUCUCCCGCAUUACUUAAUUGAGACCUAAGGAUUGACUAGCUUUAUACUUUACCUUAUCCUUGAUGACCUUUUGGGUUAUUAUUAGGGCUAGCAUUUUGCUAUUGCCUUAACCUAAUCAAUGAACAUGAUGUGACUAUUUAUGAUACGAUACUGUUAUCCUGAUGAUAUUGAUGAUCUUGUGAUUACUCUAGGGGACUCAGGCUGUUUCCUAAGUACCUCUCCGUAAGGACCUGUUCGUUGAGAGACCACCCGGGAUAACAGUGCAACCAUAAGGGUGAAAUGGGAUGCCCUUAGCUAAUUAAUUAGAGGAACUAGAGGUGUAGUUGCUUCGCCGUCGUGCCGUCAAUGGGGUCCAGGCACAGUGCUUGCUCUGCCGAGGCUGAGUGCCGAGGUUCUUUCGUUUUGCUUUUUUUGUUAGUCACUCUCCUGCGGGGAGGGGUACUGUGUUUAUCAAACUGGAGAAACCUAACGGGCAGCUAUGAUCUCUAGGAAAUCUUUGUAACAGCUACGUAGUGAUCCCCUGCCGGACCACCUAGGUAGUGGUCAAUGGGGAUUAGCUCUCCCCGGGUAGAAAGGGAAUCACGACUCAUGGGUAAAGUGUGCAACCUCUGCAGAGGGUAGUGAAAGUGAUAUAUCAGCCGUGCUCACGGUUAAGAGCAGCCUUGGGAUCCUCUUUGAUUAGAGAUACUCCGGAUACACUUCAGAUGAUGGUUAACGAUGGUGACUUUAAUUAUGCAUUCUAGUAUUCCUUCUCGGGGGAAGUACUUCUUGGGAUUAUAACUUGGGUUUUAUGAUAAAACCUGGCUCCUACUAAUAAUAAAUACCUGACCAACUAAAAGCAACUGCUUGAGCCUAACCCCACAUAAAGCUAGUCCACUUCAGCCAAACGGGACAUUUGCUGAGUACGUUGAUGUGUACUCAUCCUUUCUUUACCACAAAACACCAGGUUGUCCACGUUGUAACCACUGCUCAGGAGAAGGUGAAGCCGUGGAAGGAGACUUCCAGGAGUUCCAAGACUACGGUGAAUUCUAGGUGUGGGUUGGCGGCAACCCCCAGUCAGCUGCCUGUGAAGGCCUCAUCUUUACUGCGUUUCGCUAGCACUUUGAUUUAUCUGUUAAGUUGAUGACUAUGUGGAUGUCUACGACUCUGUGAUGUAAUAAGUUAAUACUCUUUUAUGUUAUCAUUCAAGCAAUGUGCGUUGAUGUUCAUUUAUGUAACCGCUGUGUACGUGAGUUCUGAUCCUGGCACGUACAUAGUUCGCAUUCGGUUUGCCUUCCAAAACCGGGUGUGACAGGCAACAUGGUGUUUUGUGAAAGCAAGGGUGAGUACACAUCAACGUACUCAACAAAUGUCCCGUUUGGCUGAGGUGGACUAGCUUUAUGUGGGGUUAGGAUCAAAGCAGUUGCUUUUAGUUCGUUAGGUAUUUAUUAUUAGUAGAAGCCAAGUUUUAGUAAUAACCAACCCGUAAAUCAUUUCCUCACCGAGGAACAUCAUUAUCAUCAUCGAACCAAAAACCAUUAAUAGAAUCAUUGCAUCUCGAAUCAUCGGUAUCUCUAAUCAAAGAGGAUCUUAAGACCGCUCUUAACCAUGAGCACGACUGAUAUAUCAGUUUCAUUACACUCUGCAAAGGUUGCACAAUUUACCCAUGAGCCGUGAUUCCCUUUCUAUCCAAGGAGCGCUACUCCCCAUUGAUCACUACUUGGGUGAUCUGGCAAUGUAUCACUACGUAGCCUUUACAAAGAUUCCCCAGAGGUCAUAGCCACACGUUAGGUUUCUCCAGUUUGAUAAACACAGUACCUCUCCCCACAGGAAGGGUGACUAACAAAACCAAAUCGAAAGAACCUCGGCAACCAGCCUCGGCAGAGCAAGUACUAGUUAAAACAUUUGAUUCGACGUAAUUAUGUUAAUUGACAUUUAUGAAAUACAAAUUAAAACUACUUAGUUUUGACUAAUUUAUUGUUUUAAUUAUGGAUGAUUAAAUAAAUAACUAAUUAACUGACAUGAGUGAUUAUAAGCGAACAGUUUAAUGUCGCGCGCGAUUGGCGUGCGGCAAGGCGUGCGAACAGCACGCGCGACCCUCGCGAACGACACGCGCGAAACAACACCGCGGCACGCGGGCCGAUACGAUACGUGGAAACUAAUAAAUGGACAGCAUGAUUAAACUAAACAAUUAUUAAUAAGAAAUAUUUCAGUUAAGGUUAUCAUGUUGGUGACUAAUUAUAAACGCGCAAAUCUAAUUCAUAAAUUAGAUUUUAAAAUUGAAACAUCGUUCUAGUUGUCAUCGGUCAAACAAACGUUUAAAUAAAUUAAAUAAAAAGUGCAAUAGUAGGAAAAUACUUCUAACAUGUAGAUAAUUUUAAUACGAAUCUACGCAACUUAAACGGAUUAAAUCGGGUUUAAAAGCAAAAGUUAUCACUGUUUUAAACUAGACUGAAAUUCAUGUGUACGAAACACGGACUAAAUUAUCAAACUACCAUUUUCUUCCUCACCUCAUCUUCUUCCUCCCUCGCUGGGAACGACCAUGGGAGCUUGGGUAGGGGGCACGCGCAGGGGAGAGGAGCUCGACCGCCACCGAGAGAGGGGGGGUCAGGGCCGCGCUAAGGCCGGCCGGCCACCGCCGCCGCUGGGGAGGGGCUGCGUGGGGGGGGGGAACGAAGGGGAGGCGGCGGUGCAGCCGGGGAAUAAGAGGGAAGGGAGAGGGGCCCCUACACAGACGGGAAAAGGAAGAAACAAUAAAACCCUAGGUGCAACAAUGGAGGUUUCUCACUGGGGAAGAAGACCAUCGCCGGAGCCAAGGAGGAAAUCGUUGAUCGACGGAGAUUCGUAGGUCCGAUCGAUGAACCGGACAUACUGCGACGAAGCCCUCGAUGAGACGAACGUAACGGUACCCUCGGAUUCUGCAGACGAUGCACGGAUUGGGAGUAAUUGCUCGCUUGAGUUGUCGCCGGAGUUGGAACCGCUUCCGAACUUCGGCGAGCAAUUCCGGGAGCUGGAAAUUGAAUCUGGGAAACCAUUUUGUGUUCUGAAAUGGGCUCGACGAGGAGAAACCAGGCAUGUAUAUAUAGUUGGGGUUCGGACGAGAUGGAAAUUCGGUUCAAAUUCGGAUUUUACCAUUUAUAAAAUUCGAAAAAGCCUAGAAAUCCAUAUUGUAGAUGCUUCCAGAAAUUCCCGAAAAAAUCCUAUAAAUGUUUUGGCACCUAAUGAACUCAAAAAAACAUAUUUAGAGUUUCUAAAAACAUUUUAUGUAUCUCAAAUAAAUAGAUUUUGGUUUCCGGAAAAUAGAAAAAUAUUCCAGAAAAUAUGAAAAUCUAUCAAGAGCUUCUAUAGGAUUACACUUAGAAACAUGAUGCAACGGCAUGAAUGGAACAACCAAAGCGCCUCUAGGGCUGAUUCCACUAGGUUUAUGAUAAUAUAAAACAAAAUAAUUCUCCAUUUUUAGGAAAAAGAGAAGAAAAACAAAGAAAUGAGAGAAUAACACCUGAAUUUGGUGCAUAUUAGGAAAGAAAUUUUAUGCCCUUAAAUUUAGGGUGUUACACGAGGGCAACUAAGAUUUACACCGAAAUAUGUGUAGAAGAGGUCAAUGCACACAAUGGGCCACAACAAUUUUUGAAUGCGGAAGGGUAUGCAAACCUUAUUCGAAAGUUUAAGGAAAUAACUGGACUGACAUACACAAGGAUCAAAUGAAAAAUCGUUGGGGCACACUGAAACGAAUGUACACUCGAUGGACAACACUCAAUGAAAGGGCCACGGGGCUAGGUCGAGAUCCUCAUACUAGAUGUAUCAAUGCCAGUGAUGAAUGGUGGGCUAAGCAAAAUAAAUUAAGUAUAAUUUCAUUUUAUUUUGUCCUAUAGUAGUAGAUUACUUCUUCCCAUCUGAAUUUAGACACAAUAAUUAUCUACUACAGGCAAUGCCGAACUGUUUAAUUUUCAAAACCCAACUACUAGAGAAUGAGGAUGAUCUAAGGAUCAUGUUUGGACAUAUUGUCUGCACAAAUGAAAAAUAUCCUAAUUCCUAGAGUUGAGGAUGAUGGUUCAUCAUCUGAUGAUAAAGAAUACGAUAUUCUCCUUGUUGGUGAAAACAGCACCCCAAACCCACUCACUUCACAGAAAGGAAAGCACAAAAUGAUUCGCCGAAGCCUCAUAAUAAAAAGAACAACAGAGAUGAGUACAUGAAAAGUAUUGUCGACGCCAUUGAGAGUAGGACUUUUAGCUCCAACAAGACCGUUACAUCUUGUGAAGACGACUCGGUGCAUAAGGAGGUUGCUGCUCAAUUGAAGCAAGUCAGCACCGAUGGUGCUGAAAGGGAAAUAGGGUUAACCUUUUCCUACAAUUAAUUUUGGUGGUUGAAUGCCCAACACAAAUAUAUGGACUAACUAGUUUGCUCUAGAAUACAUGUUCUACAGGUGCAAAAAGGUUCAAUAUAAACAAAUAAAUAUUCUAGUUAGGGAUCCAAUUUGAAGGAGCAAAAGAAACCAAGUGUGCUCUGGUCUGGCGCACCGUACUGUCCGGUGUGCCACCGGACAGUGUCUAGUGCACUAGGCCCGUACAGGGUUGAGCCAGCCACUCUCGGGUUUCGGCAGGCGCACUCCGUUAUAAUUCAUCGGACUGUCCGGUGUGCCAGCGGAGCAACGGCUUACUCACGCAACGGUCGACUGCAAAAGCCGCUGAUAGAGGAACAGUGCGCGCAGAGUCAGAGCCGCAGAGUCAGAGGCGCACCGGACUGUCCGGUGCCGCAAGAGGACAAAGCCUCCAACGGUCGACCGGGCUCCAGACCCUAACGGUUGGGUGACGUGGCGGCGCACCGGACAGUGAACAGGACCUAUCCGGUGGUGCACCAGACUGUCCGGUGCGCCCAUCGCCAGCAGCCUCCCUAACGGCUUCUUGGUGGUUGAGGGCUAUAAAUACUCCCCUAACCACCACAACUCCAAGCAUCCAAGUUUUCUGAAGUUCUCAUUCAAUACAAGAGCUAGUGCAUUCACUCCAAGACACAUUUCCAAAGAUCAAAGCCUCUUCAAGUCCCAAAUUCAUUCCAACCACCUAGUGACUUGAGAGAGAGUGUGUUCGUGUUCAUUUGCGCACUUGUUGCUUGGAUCGCUUUCUUCCUUCCUCAUUCUUGUUCCAAAGUGACUUGUAAUCAAAGCAAGAGACACCUAAGUGUGUGGUGGUCCUUGCGAGGUCUAAGUGACCCGUUUGAUUAAGGAGAAAGCUCACUCAGUCUAAGUGACCGUUUGAGAGAGGGAAAGGGUUGAAAGAGACCCGGUCUUUGUGACCACCUCAACAGGAAUUAGGUUCUUUGGAACCGAACCUCGGUAAAACAAAUCACCGUGUUUAUUCGAUUGACUUCCAUUUGAUUUGUUUUCCCCCUCUCUCCCGGACUUGAUUUUUGUUCUAACGCUAACCACGGCUUGUAGUGUGUGUUUAAAGUUGUAAAUUUCAGAUUACAUCUAUUCACCCCCCUCUAGGUGACUUUCAAUUGGUAUCAGAGCCCGGUUCUUCAUUAGAGUCUAACAACUCGAAGUGAUGUCGGGAGUCACGCCAAGAGGGAGAUCGUGACCGGCGACAAGCCCGCAAGCUCGGGGAGAACCCUCUCAAGGGAGUCCGGCCAUAAGCAUAAGGAGGAAUCCUCUUCCUCCAACAAGACGCAUCAGAAGGGUGACAAGAAGAAGAAGAUGAAGAAGGUGGUCUACGACGAGACCGACUCUUUGUCACCCUCCACGUCAUCAAGCUUCGACUCGUCCGUCGCUUCUAAGCGCCAUGAGCGCAAGAAGUAUAGUAAGAUGCCCCUACGCUAUCCCCGUAUUUCUAAGCGCACUCCAUUACUUUCCGUUCCCUUAGGCAAACCACCAUAUUUUGAUGGUGAAGAUUAUUUAUGUGGAGUGAUAAAAUGAGGCAUCACCUAACCUCACUCCACGAAAGCAUAUGGGACAUAAUUGAAUUUGGAGCGCAGGUACCACAUGUGGGGGACAAGGACUACAACUCGGACGAGGCCACCCAAAUUAGGCACUUUAACUCUCAAGCCACGUCUAUACUCCUCGCCUCCUUGUGUCGAGAGGAGUAUAACAAGGUGCAAGGGUUAAAGAGUGCCAAAGAAAUUUGUGACGUGCUCAAAACCGCACACGAAGGGGACUAUGUGACCAAGAUCACCAAACGGGAGACGAUCGAGGGGGAGCUCGGUCGUUUCGUCCUCAACAAGGGAGAAGAUCCACAAGCAAUGUAUAACCGGCUAAAGACCAUGGUGAACCAAGUGCGCAACCUCGGGAGCACCAAAUGGGAUGACCAUGAAAUGGUCAAGGUUAUUAUAAGAUCCCUCGUUUUUCGUAAUCCUACUUAAGUUCAAUUAAUACGUGGGGAUCCUAGAUAUAAACUAAUGUCUCCCGAGGAAGUUAUUGGCAAGUUUGUGAGCUUUGAACUUAUGAUCAAAGACUCCAAACACAUUGUCAACUUGGAGCAAGGCACCACCUCCACACCCGAGGUGCAACCCGUCGCAUUCACGGUGACAGAAGAAGAGAAGAGACAGUCUACACCAAGUAGGCUUCCAAUCGAUGCCUCCAAGCUCGACAGCAAGGAGAUGGCGCUCAUCAUCAAGAGCUUCCGCCAAAUCCUCAAGCAUAGGAGGGGGAAGGACUACAAACCCCGCUCCAAAAGGGUGUGCUACAAGUGUGGUAAGCCCGAUCAUUUCAUUGCUAAAUGCCCAAUGUCUAGUGAAAGUGACAGGGACGACGACAAGAAAGGGAAGAAGAAAGAAAAUAAGAGGUACUACAAGAAGAAGGGCGGCGAUGCCCACGUGUGUCGGGAAUGGGACUCCGACGAGAGCUCCACCGACGAGGACGUCGCAAACAUAACCGUCAACAAGGGCCUCCUCUUCCCCAACGUCGGCCACAAAUGUUUCAUGGUCAAGGAUGGCAAGAAAAAGAAGGUACAAUCUAGAGCCACCCCCAAAUAUACAACAUCUAGUGAUGAGAGUAGCUCUAGUGAAGAUGAAGAUGAUUUGCUUACUCUUUUUGCCAACCUCAGCAUGGAACAAAAGAAAAAAAUUAAAUGAAUUAAUAGAAGCUAUUCAUGAGAAGGAUGACCUCUUGGAAAGCUAAGAGGACUUCCUCAUUAAAGAAAACAAAAAACAUAUUAAAUUGAAAAAUGCUUAUGCUCAGGAAAUAGAAAAAAGUGAAAACCUAACCAAAGAGCUUAGCAUUUGUCAUGACUCUAUUUCAAACCUUAGAACUGAGAAUGCUAGUUUAAUUUCUAAGGUUGAAAAGUUAAAUGUUUGUAAUGAUUCAAUUUCCAGUCUUAGAAAUGAGAAUGCUAGUUUGGUUUCUAAGAUUAAAGAAUUGAAUGUUUGCAAUGAUUCUAUUACCUGUCUUAGAGAUGAGAAUGAAAGAUUAAAUGCUAAGAUAGAGGAAUUAAAUGUUUGCAAACCCUCUACAUCCACUGUUGAUCACGUUUCUAUUUGCACUAGAUGUAGAGAUGUUAAUAUAGAAGCUAUUAAUGAUCACCUUGCCAUGAUUAAACAACAAAAUGAUCAUAUAGCUAAAUUAACUGCUAAAAUUAAUGAGCAUGAAAUAGAAAACGAAAAGUUUAAAUUUGCUAGAAGCAUGCUCUAUAAUGGGAGACGCCCUGGCAUUAAGGAUGGCAUUGGUUUCCAACAGGGGAGCAAUGUCAAGCUUAAUGCCCCUAAAAGAUUGUCUGAGUUUGUUAAGGGCAAGGCUCCCAUGGUUCAGGAUAAUGAAGGCUACAUUUUAUAUCCUGCUAAUUAUCCUAAGCAUAAAAUUAGGAAGAUUCAUGCUAGGAAACCUCAUACUGUUUCACAUCAAGCAUUUAUAUAUAAAAAUGAGGCUUCUAGCUCUAGGCACUCCACUCACAUUAAAAUGCCUAAAAAGAAAAUUCCUGCUGCAUCAAAUGAACAUAACAUAUCAUUUAAGACUUUUGAUGCAUCUUAUGUUCUUACUAACAAAUCAGGCAAAAUAGUUGCCAAAUAUGUUGGGAGCAAACACAAGAGUCCAAAGACUUGUGAUGCUACUGCUGAUGGUGCUGAUAUUGCUAUCGAUACGUUUUAUAUUAAUUCAGUUUCUGCAGCUAUAUUAUUAGAUUCUGGAGCUACGCAUUCGUUCAUUUAUGCUCGUUAUGUCAAUGCAAAUGAGUUACCUCUUCAAACUAUGCAAAAACCCAUGAUAGUAAUCACCCCUAAAGGGCCUAUUGAAGCAAAUUUUAUGACCAACAGAUUAACAUUGACAAUCAUGGGGAGCGAAUUUUGGUCUAUGCCUAUAGUAUUAGAGGAAAGCAGUAUUGAUCUGAUUCUUGGUAUGCCAUGGUUAAGGAAAGCAAAGGCAGUUAUACAUUAUGCUGAGGGAACCGUAGAACUCAAUAGUCCAAAAGGAGAAAGAUUCGAAGUCAUGAUUGAAAGGGAAAUGUGCCCUUGGGCCAUUUCUAAGUAUUUUGGUGAUUGAGUGCAAACUCAAGUGCUUAAAUGUGAAUUUAUGCCAUGGAUGAAUAAAGUGCAAA
This 20999-nucleotide long non-coding RNA is filed under the name Zea mays. RNAcentral describes it as "long non-coding RNA (ZMAY_LNC001797)". Lineage: Eukaryota; Viridiplantae; Streptophyta; Magnoliopsida; Poales; Poaceae. The record is from RNAcentral.